RNAcentral lists this ribosomal RNA (494 nucleotides) under uncultured bacterium. Its description in RNAcentral is "partial 16S ribosomal RNA". It matches the Rfam family "Bacterial small subunit ribosomal RNA", at positions 29 to 507 of the family's 1533-position model. The record is from RNAcentral.
ACGAACGCUGGCGGCGUGCCUAAUACCUGCAAGUAGAACGCUGAAGGAGGAGCUUGCUCUUCUGGAUGAGUUGCGAACGGGUGAGUAACGCGUAGGUAACCUGCCUGGUAGCGGGGGAUAACUAUUGGAAACGAUAGCUAAUACCGCAUAACAGUAGAUGUUGCAUGACAUCUACUUAAAAGGUGCAAUUGCAUCACUACCAGAUGGACCUGCGUUGUAUUAGCUAGUUGGUGGGGUAACGGCUCACCAAGGCGACGAUACAUAGCCGACCUGAGAGGGUGAUCGGCCACACUGGGACUGAGACACGGCCCAGACUCCUACGGGAGGCAGCAGUAGGGAAUCUUCGGCAAUGGACGGAAGUCUGACCGAGCAACGCCGCGUGAGUGAAGAAGGGUUUCGGAUCGUAAAGCUCUGUUGUAAGAGAAGAACGAGUGUGAGAGUGGAAAGUUCACACUGUGACGGUAUCUUACCAGAAAGGGACGGCUAACUACGUG